CCUANGGGUGGCUGCAGUAGGGAAUAUUGGGCAAUGGGCGAAAGCCUGACCCAGCAACGCCGCGUGCAUGAUGAAGGUCUUCGGAUCGUAAAAUGCUUUUCUGAGAGAUGAGAAAGGACAGUAUCUCAGGAAUAAGUCUCGGCUAACUACGUGCCAGCAGCCGCGGUAAAACGUAGGAGGCGAGCGUUAUCCGGAUUUACUGGGCGUAAAGCGCGUGCAGGCGGUUUGGUAAGUUGGAUGUGAAAGCUCCCGGCUCAACUGGGAGAGGUCGUUCAAUACUACCAGACUAGAGAGCGGUAGAGGGAGGUGGAAUUCCCGGUGUAGUGGUGAAAUGCGUAGAUAUCGGGAGGAACACCAGUGGCGAAAGCGGCCUCCUGGACCGUUUCUGACGCUCAGACGCGAAAGCUAGGGUAGCAAACGGGAUUAGAUACCCUANUANUC
This 441-nucleotide ribosomal RNA is filed under the name uncultured bacterium. RNAcentral's name for it is "bacterial SSU rRNA". It matches the Rfam family "Bacterial small subunit ribosomal RNA", at positions 338 to 795 of the family's 1533-position model. The record is from RNAcentral.